Molecule: small RNA, 1097 nt
Filed under: Pongo abelii (Sumatran orangutan)
Lineage: Eukaryota; Metazoa; Chordata; Mammalia; Primates; Hominidae
Description: processed transcript
Source: RNAcentral
CCAAGGGUGGGUGGAAACCGAAACGAGUCAGUGUUGAAACGUGUCUCAUCCUAUUCCUGAAGCCAGAAUAUUCUGGCCAUGAGUCAUUGUUUCCGCCCAUCUUGAUUCUUUUGGAAAUGGCAGCUCUUGUUCAAAGACCGGAAAGAGUGGGAUGUCAAUUUCAAGUGGGGUCGACCUGAGUUCUAUAAAUCCCAGUAGCGACUUUCCCGCCGCGGGUGGGCAGGCGAAUCUUGCGCCGGUUUAGACAAAGGAGGCCGUGAGGACCUGCAUGCUUUUCUUCCCCAGGCAUGCUUCGGAAACUGGACAUCAAAAACGAAGACGAUGUGAAAUCGUUGUCUCGAGUGAUGGUCCAUGUUUUCAGCGACGGCGUAACAAACUGGGGCAGGAUUGUGACUCUCAUUUCUUUUGGUGCCUUUGUGGCUAAACACUUGAAGACCAUAAACCAAGAAAGCUGCAUCGAACCAUUAGCAGAAAGUAUCACAGACGUUCUCGUAAGGACAAAACGGGACUGGCUAGUUAAACAAAGAGGCUGGGAUGGGUUUGUGGAGUUCUUCCAUGUAGAGGACCUAGAAGGAGGCAUCAGAAAUGUGCUGCUGGCUUUUGCAGGUGUUGCUGGAGUAGGAGCUGGUUUGGCAUAUCUAAUAAGAUAGCCUUACUGUAAGUGCAAUAGUUGACUUUUAACCAACCACCACCACCACCAAAACCAGUUUAUGCAGUUGGACCCCAAGCUGUAACUUCCUAGAGUUGCACCCUAGCAACCUAGCCAGAAAAGCAAGUGGCAAGAGGAUUAUGGCCAACAAGAAUAAAUACAUGGGAAAGUGCUCCCCAUUGAUUGAAGAGUCACUGUCUGAAAGAAGCAAAGUUCAGUUUCAGCAACAAACAAACUUCAUUUGGGAAGCUAUGGAGGAGGACUUUUAGAUUUAGUGAAGAUGGUAGGGUGGAAAGACUUAAUUUCCUUGUUGAGAACAGGAAAGUGGCCAGUAGCCAGGCAAGUCAUAGAAUUGAUUACCCGCCGAAUUCAUUAAUUUACUGUAGUGUUAAGAGAAGCACUAACAAUGCCAGUGACCUGUGUAAAAGCUACAAGUAAUAGAACUAUG